UACGGGGGGGGCAAGCGUUGUUCGGAAUUACUGGGCGUAAAGGGCUCGUAGGUGGCCAACUAAGUCAGACGUGAAAUCCCUCGGCUUAACCGGGGAACUGCGUCUGAUACUGGAUGGCUUGAGUUCGGGAGAGGGAUGCGGAAUUCCAGGUGUAGCGGUGAAAUGCGUAGAUAUCGUGAGGAAGACCAGUGGCGAAGGCGGGUCUCUGGACAGUUCCUGACGCUGAGGCACGAAGGCCAGGGGAGCAAACGGG
This 253-nucleotide ribosomal RNA is filed under the name uncultured bacterium. RNAcentral describes it as "partial 16S ribosomal RNA". It matches the Rfam family "Bacterial small subunit ribosomal RNA", at positions 524 to 776 of the family's 1533-position model. The record is from RNAcentral.